Long non-coding RNA from Cavia porcellus (domestic guinea pig), 3125 nucleotides. RefSeq lists it as uncharacterized. Lineage: Eukaryota; Metazoa; Chordata; Mammalia; Rodentia; Caviidae. The record is from RefSeq and is a predicted model, not a curated record. The transcript is spliced from 3 exons.
CUUAGGUAUGAAGUGUUUGGAUUCUUGAGCCAGAUUGUCUGAGUUCAAAUUCCGGCCAGCUGUGUGCUCUUGGACACGGCACUUCACGUCUCUGUGUCUGUAUUUCUCAGCUCAUCAAAGGAAACAAUUAGCAAGAAACCUAACUCAUGGAAUCUCUAAGAGAACCGACCGGGAUAAAGGACGUGCAUUGACUGAACUUGGCCCCAAGCCCACAAACGGAGCUUCUCUCGAGACCCUGAGCACACUGAUGCAGAAAAUAUCAAGCAGUGAGGGGCAUGAAGUCCCUGUGCAAAACGUCUCAGGAACUGGGACCAGUGCUUCAGAGAAGAGAGGCCAAAGGAAGGAGAAAAGCUAUUUGGAUUCACCUUGGAGUCAAUCUAAUCCGUCUUGAGUCGUGGACCAAUAGAGACCCAAGAGGCCAGCCCUUUUCUUUCUGUGAGCCAGCAGCAGACAUGAGACAGGAGGAGAACCAAGGAGCUAACCCACGCCUUCCCUUGAACCAGUGGAAGCCAUGUGGGCCAAGAGGAGAAUACAGAUGCUAAUCCACACCUUCCUGUGAGCCAGAGCCAGCCUCUGGGAGACAAAAAGAACUCCCUGCAUCCUCCGACCCUGCCCACUGAUUUGGAGGAACACAAGCUGAGACAAUAACAAUUGAAGUAAACAAACAAAACUGUUUGUAUUGUUUGACUGACUUUACAGGCCUAAAGCCAGUAGUCUGAGCAUCUAUUUAGAGGAUAACAAUAUGCAAUAUAGCAACUAUGGGGAAUUUUCUUCAGUCUUGUUUUUGAGAUCCAAUGCUGUGUGUUUCAUUCUAUUAGCUUAAAAAAAUCAAUCUUUGUGUUUUGUUGUGGGAUUUUGAUUGUUUGUUCUUUUGUUUUUGUUUCUUGAGACAGGGUCUCACUAUUGAGCCCAGGCUGGCUUUGAACUCCCAGCAGUACCUUUGUCUUAGCCUCCCAAGUGCUGAGAUUACAGUUGUGCACCAUCAUGCUAGAAAAAGGAUCAUUCUUUGAAGAAUAAAUAGUGGCAUCCCUGUAUUUAAAAUAUGACUCCUUUAUUGUUUAUUUUACUUGAAAACUGUGAAAGACACAACAGGAAAGGCAGAAAAUUUCUGCUAAGUCUAUUAUAGAUUGAAAACUAGUAUAAUUCAGUUGGUAAUGAACAACAGAAAAUGUCACUGUAUAGUUUUAAAAGUAUAAAGUCUCAUAAUGAAAAGACAGAAGUUUUCAAAGUGUAACAGCUUAUCUGUUUUCUUAACUUUGUAAGAAUCUUGAUCCUAAAAAUAAGUAAUUACUAUUAGUAAAAUAUUAUAAUCUCUAUUAGCCAGGCUACUUAUAGCCAUUUUUGCCUACAUAUGUAUGAACUUGUUUAUUUCUACUGGUAAUAUAAAUGAUUAGCCAUCAAACCCUUUGAGAACCAUUUGGGGAAGAACUAUAAAUCCUGGGUGUUACAUGAAAACUUUCUUUGAUAUCAGUUCAUUCAAUAGAAUGUGAACAUCAAAGUCUGUGGAGUGGAUGCCACUGGAAGGAAAUAUUGGAGACAGUAGAAAAACAUUCUCAGGAAUUCUGGGUUCCCAACAUUCUUGAUGCAAAAUGGUCAUAAUUAUUGGAAAAUACACUAAUAUCAAGGACUUAGAGUCAAAAGUACUUUUGAAUAGUUGAUGUCUGACUGUUAAAGCAUUUUAAAAAUAAACAAUUUAGCAUAUAUUAUUUAUAUAUGAUAAAAAUCUUGAAAUAUAAAAUAAGAGAGAUACUUUGAUGAAUAUAAAAUUUUAGAUGAUAAAGAGACACUAUCUGAAAAAAAGUGAUUGAAAUAGUUGCUAUUUCAAGGAAUCGUGUUUCCUAUUGCGCCACUGUGAAUAGCAAAGACUAUUCUUUCUUCAACAGCAGAACUAUUGUCAAGAGCCGAGAAAGUCAGAAAUCAAACCAACUAUUCAUCAGUGAGUGUUCCAUUCUAUUGUGAUAACUAAAACAAUGACUUGAAGGUCAUGUUGUUUAAAGUCUCAGACUCUAAACAUAGUUCUCAGCCAGAAUAGGAGACUCCAAAGAUAAAGGCUUCCUUUCUUCCUGUCAUGGUUUCCACUGUGUGCAGCAAGGGAUGUUGGACAUGUCCGUAACAUUGCGUCUGCCUCUUUUUCUUUUCUUUUUUUUUUUUUUUUUUUUUUUUUUGUGCUGGGAAUUGAAUUUAGUACCUUGCGCUUGCCAGGCAAGGGCUCAUGCCACCGAGCUGUAUUUGUAGGCUACUGCUAGCUCUUUCCAUACUCAUGAUAAAAAUGUAUCUUAGCCUCUCCGCCAGCUUGGCUCAGGAAUUUUCACACAGUAGCUUGGGAGGAUAGAUCAACAGGGGCCUGAAUGUGUCCCAAAAACAAGUGUGAAGCUUUUGGAGCGAGGGAUUCUGGGUUUCUAUGUGGAGCAAGUUUAAGAAGGUGUGUUGGUGGAGAAUCUCUUUACUCUCUAAUGGCAGUAAAGGUCAGGUGAGCCAAGACUGAGAAGCAUUUGGGACCAGUGCAGAAGACUAAGCCAUCCCCCAAAAUACGUUGUGUUACAAGAGACACGUAAAGUCAGUAUCAGAACAUUUCUAAAUUAAUUUUACUGCAAGCAGUCAAAAUUUAUUUAUUGUGGAUAAAACUAUUCUCAGAGGCAAUUUUUGUGGCAGGAACAAAAGCAUUGUCUUUUGUUCAGCAUGACAUAAGAGUAACCUGCCUGAAGAUCAAAUUAAACCAGGAGAGGAAGGCCUGGAUGUAGCCCAGUGACAGAGCACGCUACCCCUCCCCUCACACCAAACAUACAUGCGAGGAAGCAGGCUUGUUGGCAAAGGCUUUCUAGGGAACACUGUACAUGGAAAUAAUUUGUAAAAUAAGCUUGAAUUUCAUAUAAUGUAUGAGGCUCCAAGUUGGAGUUUUCAUCAUUGAUUUUUUGUUUGAGCAUCAGAUAAAUUUAGUGUGCAAAAAAACCAGAAAGUGGUAUGGUAAACAUUAUGUAUCUGAUAAAAAAGAAAAAAUCACUUACAUUAAGAUAAGAAAUAUGUUGACAGAAAAGAAAUAUUUGUAUAAAGUAUGACAGCAAUGAGCAAGAAAAACAAAGAAAAGUAUUAGGAUUCCAGAAAUAUUCACCCUCUGAAAUCAGUUU